CUCACCAGGUCAGGACACGGUAAGGAUUGACGGACUGAAGGAUCUUUCUCGAUUCCGUGGAAAGUGGUGCAUGGCCGUUUUGGUUGGUGGAUCGAUCCGUCUGGUUAAUUCCGUUAACGAACGAGACCUCGGCACUCCGAAUAGCGCGGCGGACGUCGCGGCCUCCGGGGCCGUCUUCCGCGCGAGCUUCUUAGAGGGACCGUCCCCCGCCGGGGAAGGAGGUUCGAGGCAACGACAGGUCUGUGAUGCCCUUAGAUGUUCUGGGCCGCACGCGCAUUACACUGACGCGUCCAACGGGCGACUCCCGGCCCGAAGGGGUCGGGGAAUCCGCAAGGCGCGUCGUGAUGGGGAUUGAACGUUGCAAUUGUUGUUCACGAACGAGGAAUUCCUAGUAGGCGCGGGUCAUCAACCCGCGCCGAUUACGUCCCUGCCCUUUGUACACACC
RNAcentral lists this ribosomal RNA (445 nucleotides) under uncultured eukaryote. RNAcentral describes it as "bacterial SSU rRNA". It matches the Rfam family "Eukaryotic small subunit ribosomal RNA", at positions 1214 to 1670 of the family's 1831-position model. The record is from RNAcentral.